CCUANGGGAGGCUGCAGUCAAGAACCUUUCUCAAUGGGCGAAAGCCUGAAGAAGCGACGCCGCGUGAAUGAAGAAGCCCUUCGGGGUGUAAAAUUCUUUUAUCGUUGAACAAUUUUUGAGCGUAGACGAUGAAUAAGGACCUGCUAAACUCGUGCCAGCAGCAGCGGUAAUACGAGUGGUCCAAGCGUUAUCCGGAAUUACUGGGCGUAAAGGGUCCGUAGGGGGUUUAGUUAGUCUUGCGUUAAAUUCCGAAGCUCAACUUCGGAGCCGCGCCGGAAACGGCUAAACUAGAGAACAUGAGAGGCUGAUGGAACGCACGGUGUAGGGGUGAAAUCCGUUGAUAUCGGGCGGAACACCAAAGGCGAAGGCAUUCAGCUGGCGUGUUUCUGACCCUGAGGGACGAAAGCGUGGGGAUCAAAAAGGAUUAGAUACCCUANUANUC
RNAcentral lists this ribosomal RNA (442 nucleotides) under uncultured bacterium. Its description in RNAcentral is "bacterial SSU rRNA". It matches the Rfam family "Bacterial small subunit ribosomal RNA", at positions 338 to 795 of the family's 1533-position model. The record is from RNAcentral.